This 402-nucleotide long non-coding RNA is filed under the name Mus spicilegus (steppe mouse). Its description in RNAcentral is "lncRNA (ENSMSIG00000031822.1)". Lineage: Eukaryota; Metazoa; Chordata; Mammalia; Rodentia; Muridae. The record is from RNAcentral.
GAGAGAGAGAGAGAGAGAAUGAAUAAUGGCACUGACUCCUAGGAGACGUAGGAUGGAGAAAGAUAAAUUCCUUGAGUCACUGAAGCUCAGAGAACUGUUAAAACCGUUGGAAUGUGGAACCAACUGCCCCAUCUUCGUAAUCUCCCCUUUCUAAAGGGAAUAGAUUUCUCGCACAGUUUCCAGAGUUUGUUCCAUCUGGGGAUGACAGAAAAGCACAAAACCACCGUGGCUUUCUCAGAGUUGUGGUUUACUACUGCAUUCUUCUGCCAAAUGAUUGAAAAAUCCCACCCAGCAUCCAUGGAAGCUUCAGAAGCCAAUAGAGGUUUUCUGUGAGUAGCUGCAUAAGAAACUCCAGAUUUUUUACCCAAUCCACACUUUGGAAUAAAAUCAAUGAACUUUUCA